CCCAGACUCCUACGGGAGGCAGCAGUGGGGAAUAUUGCACAAUGGGGGGAACCCUGAUGCAGCGACGCCGCGUGGGUGAAGAAGUCAUUCGUGACGUAAAGCCCUCUCAGCAGGGAAGAAAAUGACGGUACCUGACUAAGAAGCCCCGGCUAACUACGUGCCAGCAGCCGCGGUAAUACGUAGGGGGCAAGCGUUAUCCGGAUUUACUGGGUGUAAAGGGAGCGUAGACGGCGGCGCAAGUCCGGAGUGAAAGCCCACGGCCCAACCGUGGGACUGCUCUGGAACUGCGCGGCUAGAGUGCAGGAGGGGCAGGCGGAACUCCUGGUGUAGCGGUGAAAUGCGUAGAUAUCAGGAGGAACACCGGUGGCGAAGGCGGCCUGCUGGACUGCAACUGACGUUGAGGCCCGAAAGCGUGGGGAGCAAACAGGAUUAGAUACCCUUGUAC
This 445-nucleotide ribosomal RNA is filed under the name uncultured bacterium. RNAcentral's name for it is "partial 16S ribosomal RNA". It matches the Rfam family "Bacterial small subunit ribosomal RNA", at positions 330 to 793 of the family's 1533-position model. The record is from RNAcentral.